This 118-nucleotide ribosomal RNA is filed under the name Castor canadensis (American beaver). Lineage: Eukaryota; Metazoa; Chordata; Mammalia; Rodentia; Castoridae. The record is from RNAcentral.
GUCUAUGGCCACACUGCUCUGAACAUGCCUGAUCUUGUCAGAUCUUGGAAGUUAAACAGGGUCAGGCCUGGUUAGUACUUAGAUGGGAGAUAGUUUAGAAAGCAUCCAUUGUUAGUCU